Molecule: non-coding RNA, 3287 nt
Organism: Cyanistes caeruleus (blue tit)
Lineage: Eukaryota; Metazoa; Chordata; Aves; Passeriformes; Paridae
Source: RefSeq, a predicted model, not a curated record
UUUGUUGCCUGUUAAUCAGCUACUGGUUCACCAAAUUUCUGAGCAUCUUCCAUCCAGAGGAUGUUUGAUGUUCUUUUUUACUGAACUAUGAUGUGUGCAUGCUAUAAUUAGAAGGAUUGAGUCAUAACCACUUAGAGGACAAGAUUCUUGCCCUCUUCUCAUUAAUACAAUUCAUAUUUAAACUAGCUGCCAUUUUCUCUUGACUUCUUACAUCAUUAUAUGUUUCAAAAUUAAAUAUGCUUUCACAGAAAUUGAAGUCCUGCUUUUGCCUAGGUUUUUAGAGUCACUUUAAUUUUUAAAUUAAAACACUCUGGCAGAGGGAUCUGUUUCUUCCAGAGGUAUUUGUCACUCAUACAGGUAUUUCAGAUAUGUUAGUAUGCCUCCCCAUUUGAAUCAGAUUUGCUUGCUUCAUUAAAACUCAGGCAAAAAGGAAAAUGUUUCUCAUGGUACAGACAAAAGAGCUGUCUGACUCGUGGGCUUUCUCACAACUACUGACAACAAUUGCCCUGCAUAAAAUUUCUUUACAUGUGUUCUUCUUUUUCCUUGGUCCAGCUGCUUAGAAAGUGUGUGUUGUGGCUGUCUUUGUACAUACCAACAAAACUAAAAAAAGUUGUGAUGAGAAAGACUAAAAUUAGAAAGAUCUAAAGAGCAGUCUUAACUUUACAGGCAGUCUUAACCCUACAUCAUCCUCUAUCAAAUGGCAGCUCCUCCCUAAGGUCAAGCAUAUCUACAAUGAAGUUCUGCUUUGAUAUGUAUUAAAGUUAAGCUUUAUUAGAAACGCACACUCUCCUUUUUUUUUUUUAUUUUUGCUUUUUAUUCCAAGCAGAAGACUUUGAGAUUGUAUAAGUUUGCAAAAUAUAUACAGGACAAAUAAGGACCUAUAAACUGUUCAAGCAAGCAACCUAGGAAGACCCUGUGUCAGUAUUAUGCAUAGGUCUUGAUCAAAGUUUAUGGUGAGUUUGAUCUUGCCUUAUUUUAUCUGCCUAAAAAAACUCUGCCAGCUGCACAUAGUUGAAAGGGAUGUAUGUGUCCAGAGGGCUGUUUAUCCCGUCUGCUUUGGACAUCUAUCUUGGGCUGGAAUGGGCUGACCUGUGGCAGUUCAUUGACUCCUGAAGGAUCCUAUUUUAGGACUUCUAAAAUUAGGUUGUGAAUAUGAAAUGAAAGAAAAAGGAAAGACUUCUUUUUCAGAGGCACAGUUGAAUUAAAUUUAAUCAAGAGUAUUAUUUCAAAUACCUACAAUUAAUGUGAAAGAGUACAGGAAAAGAACAGUUUUCAAUUAAGCCUGGAUUAAAGUAAUGUUUUUUAAUGGGGUAGUAUCAUCAGGAACACUAGGUAAAAUGGAGCUUUAAUAUUGUCAUUUUUUAUAACUCUUCUUAGAAGGAUGGAAUUGCUAAUGGCUUUGAGCUCUACAGCACAACUGGUGUAGAAUGGAUGUAAAGUAUAAAACCAGAGAAAACCAAACUAGACUCAGUAAAUUUUUCAUGCAUGUUUGUCAGUGAACUGCAACUCCUGAUGCAAGGUAAGUACUUGUUCUUGCAUCUUACUUGAAAAAUCAGCUUGGAUAAAAAUCAUCUCAAAACUAUGUACAAAUGCAGGACUUACAGCAGCCAUUUCAUGCUGAUGGUACAGGCAAAUUUAGGGCAGCUGUCCCUAGGGAGAAUAAAUGGUCUUUUACAAUAUAGUAUUCUAGAAAAUAUAUCUCCAAAAAUAUUUGACAUUCAACAUAGCCCACAGAACUGCACAUUUAGCUUGUCAGUGAUAGUUAUAUUUCCUGAGAAUAUAAGAGGAAGGGUUUUAAUUGAUGCCUAAGAGAUCAAUACCAUCAACCAUGAGGUUAAAGUAUUGCCUGUCUUGAAAACAGACCUAAAUUUUUCUGUAAGGUUUCUUGUGUAUUAUGCUGAAAAACAGCAAAGUUAUUGAUCACCUUUUUAGGACUCAUGAAAAAUGUUGAGGGAUGAAGAUUUCUUAGUAACAGAAAGGUUGGUGAAUAAAAAUUUGGGUAAAGCUACUCCAUACAGGUGCAUGAUGUGUGAUAGAAGCGUUGAUACCCAAGUGAUGACUUCAGAAUUUUCUUUUAUGGCCAUUGCCUGGAAUAACUAUUCUAGAGCAGGUAAAAUGUAUGAAAGGCCUUUUUAGUGGAAGCACACCAGUUCAAUAUUCAGUGUAAAGUCUCAUAGGGAUGUGCAGGUGACAUAAUAUUUCAGACAUGCUAGGUAUAAUCCUGGCACCUAAGCAUAAGCUGAUUCAAUAAAGCAUGAUUUAUAACCAGACUGAGCUGUUUUGAGGUGAAAGGGUAGGAUAUGACUUACUUGGCUUGCAGAGAUAUUCUGUUCUGCUCUGAAUUUGCUGAAAGGAUGUUAAAUGUAUCAGAGCUGAGGUAGCUCAGAUUUUGGUGAGGCACCUGAACUGGAAGGUGGCUGGAGAAGGAUUUGUGACCCAUGUCUGCAUUAGGGCUUCCUUGGAUACCCACUGUGGACAAAAAAAGAAAACUUAAGUGUUGCUACUGAACAGAGAUGGGAAAAUGUAUCAGGCAAAGAUGGAUAUUUGGGAGCCUGUUCUGCUUGAAACCCCUUUAACUUAUUGCAAUCACAGUGGAGAAAAAGAUCAGAGGUGUGCUCUCUGAUGACAGUGCAGUGCAGAGACAGCAUGAACUGAGGAAGCAGGAACACUUGUGUUCUCCAUACGCUCCACAUCUCUUCCCAAAGCUGCUGCUGUUCAGCAGUAAUGAUGGCCUUAGAGCUGUUACCUGCUGCUUCAGCUGAAUGUACCUCAAGACAACCCACUGCUGUGCUAGGCCUUGGACGUGGAAAAUCCUGCGGUGUUCUGAAAGUGUGAUCAGAUGACAAUGUCUUCAUCACUGCUUUCCAUAACCCUCCAAAUCCUGAGACUAAUUGUUCUGCCUCGCUUAUCAAACCAUAGAUGUGGUUUUGGUACAGUGGGACAAAUCAGGAGCUGGUGCAGACCUUGUUUCCUGUUAUGCCGAGUACAUCUGAGCAUGGGCCAUGGCAUUUAAGAAGGAUCUACGUGGAUGUCUCUAGGAACAGGUGAAGAAUCUGAGUCACUAGAUGAGUCACUCUGUCAGUGGAAAUUCCCUUCCCUCUUCCACUGACUUGCAAGAUCAGCAGUGUAGGUAGAACACCUAGAAGCUGCUUUAUAGAAAAGGGUCUCCUUGCAACAGUGAAAGGUAUCUGUCUCAUUUAGGACUUUUGGAUUUGGGUUCUUUUCCCCUUUGAACUGAAGAUUGACGAGAGGGAGGCUAUUUUCUCUUGUUCGGUCUCAGUUGUUUA